Molecule: ribosomal RNA, 273 nt
Filed under: uncultured bacterium
Lineage: Bacteria
Description: partial 16S ribosomal RNA
Rfam family: Bacterial small subunit ribosomal RNA
Source: RNAcentral
GGGGCCCUACGGGACGCAGCAGUGGGGGAUAUUGCACAAUGGGGGGAACCCUGAUGCAGCGACGCCGCGUGGGCGAUGGAGUGCUUCGGCAUGUAAAGCCCUAUCAGCAGGGAAGAAAAUGACGGUACCUGACUAAGAAGCCCCGGCUAAAUACGUGCCAGCAGCCGCGGUAAUACGUAUGGGGCAAGCGUUAUCCGGAUUUACUGGGCGUAAAGCGAGUGCAGGCGGUGCAAUAAGUCUGAUGUGAAAGCCUUCGGGUCCACCGGAGAAAUG